GAGUAAAUCAAUAGGUGUGGUUUUACUGAAGGGGGUGUAGGUGGGGGAAGGCUCUAUAAAAUUUGAGCAGAAACAGUAUACAGAAAGUUAUGAGUAAAUAAGCAGAAACCUAGAAGAAAACAGCUACAAGUGUGUUAGCUACUAUUAUAGAAAGAAAAGAUCCUAAGAUACCAAACAAAAGAUCUACGAAUGGGAAAAAUAAAUUCACAGAAGUAAUAUUACCAAAGGAGAAAACAAACCCAGGACACGAGCUUUAUGGCAAUUCAGACUGAAAAGAAAAGAUCCCCUGAUUCUUCAGUCGUUCCAUGCAUAGCACUCAUUGUGAAAUUAAUGGGAAUUUUGUGUAUAGAAGGCCUUCUGGCAAAAAAAGCUGAUUUAUUAUUUACAAAGAAGAAUUGCUACAUUUGAGUUCCUGAUGGCUAAAUAUCCUAUGCUUUAUUUGGAAUGUUGUCGAUGGAGCCCUCCACAGAUCUCUCCAUUAGAAGAUGUUGUGACUCAGUAUGGGAAUUUUCCACAUCUGUUAGGAAACUGCUACAGAUGGUUCAACUCAUUAGUUGACAGAACUCCUAGUGAACAUCACCGAAGAGUACUGGGACCUCACUUGGACUAAAUGUUAAGCUUGCCUCCUGUUCAGCGCCAUUACAUUUUCUCUAAAAUAAGAUCCUUAACCAAUUCUAUUGGACCCAGGAUACACUUUUAAAUGCAGCCAGACUGCAAUCCUGUUUUAUACAAUUGGCAAAUGUGACAAAGUUAAACAGCACCAGUUGUCAUUGUACAGGCCUCUAUCUAAGGAUUGUGCCUCAAACAUACCUUGUAGUAUCUUUUAAAUCUUUAUUGCAUCUGCUAUUAUUGCAUCUCUCAAAUGAUAUAAUGAACUUUAAAAAAAUAAAGUUUUACAUUUUUCUAUUUUAUAUAAUCUUAGCUUGAAAGUAAACAUUUUUUUUCUUUACCAUUUUUGUGCUUCUCCCUUUGGCAAACACUGAUGCAGUAUUUCCCACCUCAUUUCCACCCAACCUCAUGUUUGUUUUGAAGUUGCUCCAUGUUUGUAUGUCAGCAUCAUCCAUGUCAGAACAAUUAUGGCAACAGUUUGUUACUUAAUUUCUUCAGCGGAGCCUGCAGGAGCUCACACUUUGCUAUUGUUGCUUUUCACAGGUUUAGGGCCAAAUUUUCAGCCUCUAAUUUUGAAUACAAACAUUUUGAGUAUACAGUUAAUGAAUUUGCAGGCACAAACAGGUGGUACAAAUGCAGUAAUGGUAGAAAUUGAUUCAUGAACAAUUUUAUACUUUCAAAAUGAGCUUUGAUCCUGCAAAGCCUUACAAUGGGUUUAACUUUAGGCACUGGGAGUAGUCUCAUUGACUUACACUGAACCCUGGAGAUAAAAAAAAGAUUUACUCAAUAGAGAUGUUCCAUUAUACCAUGUAAUACAUGUUUUUAAAAUAUGCAUUUUAAUGACAGGUUAGAAUGGCUUCACACUUUACAAGGUCAAGCCCUUAAUAAAUCACUAUACACAUUACACAUAUACGACCUGUCGGGUGAAAUGGCUUAAAAAAGACCGUUCUGGUCUAUCAGGUAAAUAUUGGAUACUUGGAGAUGUGUGUGUAUAUUUAACAUGUAUAUAUGUUAAAUAUACCAUGCAAAAGAUCCUAUAUGGUUGCAUAUUUAACCAUAGAGACUCAGAGAGCAGAAUUACUCCUGUAUCAUUCUUAUCUCACAGGUAAAUAGCCCACAUUUUGUGCCUGAUACUGAAGUCAAUUGGAGUUUUGCCUACAUCAGGGUUGGACUUUGAAAGAUUUUGUGUGUGUUUAAAGAAUGCAGUGAAUUAAGUAUUAUCCUGAAGUCUGGCUAUUAUGUUUGUCUGUUUAUGUCACAAUUUAAACUUUAUUUAAAUGUGGGGUUUUUUGUAUUUAGCAGUAUGACACUAUGUGGUUGGUUAAGCCAGGCUGGGUUGAUUAUCACUAAAGUGUUAUUUAUUUCUAUUUUAUUAAGCCCCUUUUUACAUUCAU
Molecule: long non-coding RNA, 2003 nt
Organism: Mauremys reevesii (Reeves's turtle)
Lineage: Eukaryota; Metazoa; Chordata; Testudines; Geoemydidae
Exons: 3
Source: RefSeq, a predicted model, not a curated record